RNAcentral lists this non-coding RNA (70 nucleotides) under Aeromonas caviae. Lineage: Bacteria; Pseudomonadati; Pseudomonadota; Gammaproteobacteria; Aeromonadales; Aeromonadaceae. The record is from RNAcentral.
GUGCGAAACAGGGCGGCUGCGCCGCCCUGUCUGCCCGGCGUGGUGGUCGGGUACUGAUGAGCAACCAAAU